UACAGAGGGGGCAAGGCGUUGUUCGGAAUUACUGGGCGUAAAGGGCGCGUAGGCGGCCUGUUAAGUCGAACGUGAAAUCCCCGGGCUCAACCCGGGAACUGCGUCCGAUACUGGCAGGCUUGAAUCCGGGAGAGGGAUGCGGAAUUCCAGGUGGUAGCGGUGAAAUGCGUAGAUAUCUGGAGGAACACCGGUGGCGAAGGCGGCAUCCUGGACCGGCAUUGACGCUGAGGCGCGAAAGCGUGGGGAG
RNAcentral lists this ribosomal RNA (247 nucleotides) under uncultured bacterium. RNAcentral's name for it is "partial 16S ribosomal RNA". It matches the Rfam family "Bacterial small subunit ribosomal RNA", at positions 524 to 768 of the family's 1533-position model. The record is from RNAcentral.